This 319-nucleotide long non-coding RNA is filed under the name Calidris pugnax (ruff). RNAcentral describes it as "lncRNA (ENSCPUG00000019752.1)". Lineage: Eukaryota; Metazoa; Chordata; Aves; Charadriiformes; Scolopacidae. The record is from RNAcentral.
GGCCAUAGCUAUUUCCAAGCCAUUUCUAAACUGUGUCUGAAGCACAUCUUGCUGUCCUGCAGUUACUCAAGUGAGAAAUGAUAUGCACUGUAGUAAAAUCCUGUUUUCUUUCAGGCUAAAUGGGUCAUGUUUCUCUGGAUUAGACUUAGAAGAAGCGAAAAGAAGCAAAAGAGUAAUACUCUCCUUAUGUGAUAUUUGGCUUUGUUCUCAAUGUGUAUUCAAGAAUGGAUUCAUCCCUACAUGUAACAGCUACUUGGAGCAUUCAGCACCACCUCUAAUAAGAGAACUAGAGGCGAACCAAGAACAACCUUCACGGGAG